Dromiciops gliroides (monito del monte) is the source of this 566-nucleotide long non-coding RNA. RefSeq lists it as uncharacterized. The record is from RefSeq and is a predicted model, not a curated record. Lineage: Eukaryota; Metazoa; Chordata; Mammalia; Microbiotheria; Microbiotheriidae. The transcript has 3 exons.
GUGUCGGCUGUAUUGGUAUCCCCGGGCCUGCUUGGCCCACCUCUGGAGUCCACAAUUCUCUAGCAGGCGGGCAUGCACACAAGGGCAACCAGAGACCGUGCUGUGAGAGGAUUUCCCAAAGGAACAGUCACGGUUGGACUGGAGGAGAAAAGGCUCCAGGGAGGGCCUGUGAGCGUCACCUCCAGGGGAAGCCUUGAAGAGCUGCCAGGGCAACGGUGAUGACGUGGAUUGUUCAUGCCCGUGAUGCCCAUAUCUCUUGACCUCCUUUCCCUGCUAGAUGGCUCUUCCUGGGUGUCCCAGAGGCACCCCUGUUUCUGUGGAGGGCCCUGGCCCCCAGUUCAUGGCCUUGGGGUCAUCCUGGACACAGAAAGGCCUUCUCGCUGGCCUUGUCUCCCAGGCUGAUGACACAUUCAAGCUCUUCAUGCCUACAAGUGCCCAGCCCAUCACAAGAGCCUAAUCAAUGCCCAGUGAUUGAUUUUGGAAGUAGCCGAGAGAAGUUACAGCUGGGGAAAUUUCAGCUUGAGGCUCACCUCAAAUCCCACCUUUGACAAGAGACCUGUUCUGCC